UUACACUUUCAGUAAGGUGGGGGAAAGUGCUUGGCUGACACUACAACCAUUCUUCUCAGGAUCCUAAUAAUAAUAAUAAUAAUAAUAAUAAACACUCCUGACCUCAUGAUCGUGUUAAAAAACAAACUGUGGAUCAUCGAUGUUGCAAUCCCAGGUGACAGCAGGAUUGAAGAGAAACAACUGGAAAAGAUGACACGAUAUGAGGAUUUAAAGAUCGAACUUUCAGAAGCUCAAUUCAGCAUGGCCAGUAGUCAAGAUUUUGGGGAAGUUGAGAACCACUGGCCUAGUGUGUAUGUCUCUAGUGGCAGCAAAACACGGAGUGAAGCUCAAACCUUCGUUGAAAAAGAAAAAAAACUGCUACUCUCCACCUAUGAAGCAACAGGGCCUGGUAGUAGGAUCCAGACUCAGUUCCCCAUCCCUGUUAAAACCCUUGGUGAGAUUAAGGCUGGACUGACACUGCAACCAUUCUUCUCAGGAUCCUAAUAAUAAUAAAAUACUUUAUUUAUACCCUGCUACCAUCUCCCAAGGGACUCGGUGUGGCUUACAUGAGGCUGAGCCCACAAUACAUCAAUACAAGCAAUAACAACCACAAUACAAAGCAAAAUACAAAUACUAAUACAAAGCAAUUAAAUAAAUCUCAUACACAAAUAGCGUAAACAUUGAACAAUAGCACAAAACACAUUUAAAA
Anolis sagrei ordinatus is the source of this 688-nucleotide non-coding RNA. The record is from RefSeq and is a predicted model, not a curated record. Lineage: Eukaryota; Metazoa; Chordata; Lepidosauria; Squamata; Anolidae.